GCAUUGUAGCUUGCAUAUCAGUGAUCUAACUGCUAACUUCAACAUAUAAGUGAAUAUAUACUAUAUUUGUCCUUCUAGGUUUGGGUUACCUCACUCAGGAUGAUUUCUUUUCUCUAGGCCCACCUAUUUAUGUGCGAAUUUCAUGAUUUCCAUUUUAAAAGAUUAAUAUUCCAAGCCGGGCAUUGGUGGUGCACGCCUUGAAUCCCAGCACUCGGGAAGCAGAGGCAGGCGGAUCGCGUCUCAUGAGGAGAGCGAGCACGCUGAGAAACUAACGAAGCUGUGAAGCUGCAACACUAAGGAAGUACCCAAACCUGCCUGCAGGAUUGUCAAGAAACUAGACCGUGAUGACUGGGAGGGCAAGCUGAAUGUGCUGUCCUUGACAAAAGAGUGUGCGAAUCAGUCACUGUUGGAACUGUACAAACUGGCUACUGACAAAAACCAACCCCACUUAUGUGACUGCAUUGAGAAUCACUACUUGACCGAGCAGGUAAAAUCCAGGUUACUGAACCACCAUGUAACCAACUUGAGAAAGAUGUGAGACCCCGAAUCAGGCAUGGGGGAAUAUAUCUUUGCAAGAAUACCCUGGGACAAGGUGAUGAGAGCUAAGCUGACUUUCCCAAGACAGUGUAAUGAUGUCACUGGUCACCAAGACAGCACAUGCAGAAACAAAACAAAAAUCUACAGAAUUUCUAUGUGAAAAGGAGAAUGUUGACUAAGACAUGUUCCUUAUUCCUGUAGAAAGGAAAGACAUCUAUUGGGGUACAAGUGUGAAGAUGAUGGGAGAUGGAAGAGUGAAUAGUGUGAAGCUUAACUACCAUACCACAUCAUUUCCAAGUUAAAAAUGAAACGAUGAGGAAAAACAUUUAAAUCUUAACUUUACAUCCCUGACAGAAGAGGAAAAGAAAAGGGUCAAAUGACUCUAAUUUACAAAAGUGUACGGUAAUGUACCAUUACUGAAUUAACAGUUUGCUCAUUGUUUUUUAAAUUAAUGGGCUUAAGAUAUUAUUUUAAACUAUUAAUAUUGAAAAGAACAUUGUAGUGUAGAGGAAAUCAUCUGCUCAUACAUUUAAAAAAUAUGUGUUUUCUGGGCAAUGCCCCAACAUAAUAAUUGUGACUUCGAUAAGUAUGCAAGAUACCUUGACAAUUAUCAAAAUCUGUCAGAUGGAUCAUGAUAACUCAGACUAAAAACAAUCUUUGCAGUCAUGUUAGAGCCUCUAUGAUUUAGUUACUAUCCAUUAGGGGCAGGUCUCUGAAGCUUUAUUAUGGGUAUUAUGGUUUUACUCUUACAUGUUCCAUAUGUCUUCCAUAAGUAAAUAAUUUUUAUGUCUCCUCAUAACUAAUGCCUCAAGAAGAAAAAACCUAAAUGAAUCAAGGUGAAAGAAUGCAAAUGAAAUUUUACCUUCAUUUGAUGCUACAUAGAAAGCCUUAGAUUUCGAACCACAUAGAUAUGAGUUCAUAUUCAAUCUCUGUCACUGCCAGUGUAGUAUUGGCAAAAUGUCUUAAUACCCAAGAGCCGGACUUCUGGAGGCAUCACCAUCCCUAACUUUAAGCUCUAUUACAGAGCUAUAGUCCAGCUUGGUAUUGGCACAAAAUAGACAGGUAGACCAAUGGAAUAGAAUUGAAAACCCUGAUAUUAACCGA
Non-coding RNA from Cricetulus griseus (Chinese hamster), 1641 nucleotides. NCBI's taxonomy places the organism in Eukaryota, Metazoa, Chordata, Mammalia, Rodentia, Cricetidae. The record is from RefSeq and is a predicted model, not a curated record.